AACCAAUGGACGGUGGCGACCACAAGUGCGGAGAUAACCAAGCGGUGGGGAGAUGGACUCUUGUAGGAACUACAGCUUUGGUCACCGGAGGCACUAAAGGAAUCGGGUAUCGUCAUCUUUCUUCAUACAUUUGCUCAUCCACCUCACAGCACAAACAAGUUCAUACUGAAAUCUGGAGUCUAAUUCGUGCCGAAAUUAAGGAGCUUAUGUCCAUCUUAUUAUGAGGUUUUCUCUUCCGUUCUUUUAUGGUGAUCAGACAUGCCAUAGUAGAAGAACUAGCGAGAUUUGGUGCAGCCGUCCAUACCUGCUCUCGAAACGAAGCAGAGCUCAACGAGUGCUUGCAACAAUGGAGAGCUUUGAACCUCAAGAUCACCGGCUCCGUCUGCGACGUCUCAUCUGACGUCGAGAGGGAGAAACUGAUGCAGACUGCGAACUCCGUCUUCCAUGGAAAGCUCCAUAUCUUGGUGAGAUUGUCGGCCGACUUAAGCGUCAGCAUUUAAUCCAUCCGAAGAAGAUGAUAACGCAUCUACGCUUCUUCCUCAUCCUCGCUGAUGCUCGUGGUGUAGGUAAACAAUGCCGGGACGUUGAUUUGUAAACCGGUGGUGGAGCAUACCCCAGAGGACUACAGACGUAUCAUUAGCACCAACUUGGACUCUGCCUUCCAUCUGAGCCAGCUUGCCCAUCCUCUUCUCAAGGCGUCAGGAAGAGGCUGCAUCGUCAACAUCUCCUCCGUCAGUGGCUUCGUCGCCAUCGAUUCUGCAUCCGUCUAUGCAGCAACUAAAGGUUACAUGUCACAGACACAACCGUCUCGCAUCACGAAUCUAAUAGUACUUUUCUUCUUCUUCUUCUUUCUUCAGGAGCACUGAACCAGCUGACGAGGAGCCUUGCUUGCGAGUGGGCAAAGGACAACAUUCGAGUUAACUGCGUCGCUCCCGCGUACAUCAGAACUCCACUCAUUCAGACCGUAAUGGUUCUAUCUGUUCUCCCUCCUGAAUAGGAAUCAUCAAAACCUCGUGAACUCUUCUUCCUCCUCCUCGUACUGCAUGGCUGUGUGACGCACCAGUGUUUACAAUCUCAACAGCUAUCCGAAGACGAAGAGUUCGUAGCGAGGGAGGCUCGUCGCGUUCCUCUGGGGCGGCUGGGUGAGCCAGAAGAGGUGGCGGCCGUGGUGGCUUUCCUCUGCCUCCCCGUUUCCGACUACGUCGAUGGCCAAGUCAUCAUCGUGGAUGGAGGUCGGACUGUGAACGGCAACAAUUGAAGUCUCCAUUACCACACGAUUGCUGCCAUCUAUGUUGUUCCGAGAAGCAAUACCAUCAACAUAGUUGUGCUUGGUGUGGUCGUAAUAGGUAAUGCAUUCCCGUUCUAAAUAAGAUAGCCAUCUAAAGAAUCUUUCUCGGCACAAUAAAGCUAUUUCGAUCAUGGCAAUAUCAAAUGCAGUUCCCAAUAGAUUCCUUGAUAUGUUGCCAAGCAAUCACUGAGUCAACAUAUCCCAGCUGGGCUACCGACACUGCCCAAACAGAUAUAUGCAAUCAGUGAGACUUGAAACUGAAUUAUCAGCACAUAACGAUAUACAAUGAAUGAUUAUAUGUGGGGGAAUAAAAAAGGACAAGUGAGCAUUUCGUAUAAAAGGCUCAUAUUUUUUGACUACUUACCGAGAGACUAUAGUUUGUUAAAAUACGCAGAAUCCCUUUAUAUAAAAAAAUUUAUUUUCUCGACAAAAAUCGGCCAAUUAAAUCGAAUGGGACCGAUCACAGUAAUAUAUAUUUUUUAAUUAGUAGCCAAAAUAAGGAUUAUAGUUUUAUUUUUGUUACUGAAUCAAAAAUACUAUACCUAAUUUAUUAAAAUAAAAUAUUUAUAACUUCAUAAAAAAAAAUACUAUGAAUAUUUAGAAAAGAUAGAAACUUUAUUAUGAGAAAUAUAAAAACAUUGGAUACUAUCUUGGAGAAGCUCAAAGUAGGUUUUGCCUGUAAAUCACCAAAUAAGUAAAAUAAAAAAAAGAAAAAUACUAGUUUUAGACAAUUGGAGCUUUUGGGUUGAAAGUCAUAAUGACAACCAUAAACGAAUAGGAAUUGCUACGGGCAUUAAGAUUGGUAAGAAGGAGUCGAGCAUCUUUUUUCUUAAUACAAUGUCAUAAUUUGAAAGCAAAAAAAAAAAAUAAAACAACAACAAAGUAGACAAGGAAAAGAAAAUGCAACAGGGAGCCGAGCCUCAAAAAGUAAGAAGAACUUGAUACUAGAAAGAAUUUGUUAUAAAUGAGAUAAUUUUAUCGAGGUAAUAUAUAUUUAUACAUGUUGUGAGAAAGAAAGUUUACUUAAUCAUAUGUUCAAAUUAUGCAUUCAAAUCAUAUCUUCAAAUUAUAAAUUAAUUAAAAAUUAAAAAUAUAAAAUUAUCAUUUCAUAUUUACCUAUAUCAUGUGGAUUGUGAAGUUAAUCCACAUGGGAGAUUAUAGAGCAUUGAGGGCUAAGUUACUGAUGCCACAAUCUUUUGUCCAUCUCAUACCAUACCAACGAAGAUUCGGAGUCAGUCAUAUUUAUCUACAGAAAUUACAAUGUAAUUUGGUAAAUGCGUGUGGCACCACUGCAACUAUUGACCCAAUCUGCGUACUAUUUCCACACUUACAAAUCGAGAGGACUGAGAUCUGGAUUGAAGUAGGAGAAAGAAGAAGCAGAAGGAGGAGGAAAACAAUGGAAGAUGGAGACCAGAAGUGCGGAGAUAACCAAGCGGUGGGGAGAUGGACUCUUGUAGGAACGACAGCUUUGGUCGCCGGAGGCACUAAAGGAAUGGGGUAUCGUCAUCUUUCUUCAUACAUCUACUCAUCUACUUCACAGCACAGACAAGUUCAUACAGAAAUCUAAGGUCUAAUGCCUGCCGAAAUGAAGUAGCUUAUGUCCAUGUCUAUUAUGAGAUUCUUUUCUCACUUCUUUUAUGGUGAUCAGACAUGCCAUAGUCGAAGAGCUAGCUAGGUUUGGAGCAGCCGUCCAUACCUGCUCUCGGAACGAAGCAGAGCUCAGCAGAUGCUUGCAGCAGUGGAGAGCUUCGAACCUCAAGGUCACAGGGUCCGCGUGCGACGUCUCCUCUCCAGUUGAGAGAGAGAAACUAAUGGAGAAUGUCAAGUCCAUCUUCCAUGGAAAGCUCAACAUUUUGGCGAGUCGAGUCGAGUCUCGUAGUUGACCUUAGAAUGAGCGUAACGUGGACAGUAAUGGGUUUGCUGUUUGCGUAGGUCAACAACGCAGGAACGGGCUUUCAGAGACGGGUGACGGACGUGACUCUUACAAGCUGCUGAUGAGUACCAACUUGGACUCUGCCGUCCAUUUGAGCCAGCUCGCUCAUCCUCUUCUCAAGGCAUCAGGAAGUGGCAACAUUGUGUUCAUCUCCUCCAUAACAAGCCUCAUCGGCAUGGAUACUAUAGCCGUCUAUGCAGCAACCAAAGGUACGCACUCGGUAACUUGGUUCCUCUAUGAGCUCUUCAACAUGCAAGCGCUCAUCAUCUGCUGCUGUUGGCUUCUUCUUCGUCUUGUUCAGCAAUGAAUCAGCUCACCAGGAGCCUCGCUGUUGGGUCCAGCCCAUAGGUGAGCUUGGACCGAUUGAUUUGGGCAUUGAGCCCAAAUUCGAUGUAUUUAAGAAAAAGGAAAAAAAUGAGGUGCGCGACGUGAGUAGGGUAGCGAACGUGUUCAUGAGCCGAGAAAAGAAAUAGAGAGAGAAAAUUAAGAUUGUGAAGAAUCUUGUUACAAUCUUAAUACUAUCGAUAUACUGUUUAUUCUCUUUAAGAUGCUUUUUUGCUAUACCUAUUUGGUAUGAUCUAAAAUUUUUCUUUCAUAAAAUUCAGAUGAUGAUGAUAUAUUAUUAUUGAGCCAAAAUAUAUGAUCUUGAUGUUAUUAUGAUCCUCUGAUUAUUAUGAAGAAGAGUUAUUAUAAACAUGAUGAUAAUGGAUAUUUGAAUUGGAAUACGGUCUCAUGAUUUUUCUCGUAUUUGAUUUUUUUACAUAAAAAAUUUGAUGUCUCAUAAAAAAUUAUUCCACCAUAAUAGUUUUUCUCAAUAAGUAGUAUCAGAACUUAUGGUUGUUUAGUGCCAGUUUUUUUGUGUGAUUGAAAUAAAGGAGUCAGAUGAUCUGAUUAAAAUGAAUUCAUCAAAUUAUUCCACCUGGAGGGGUAUGUCAGAAGAUUUACUCUAUUGCAAAGAUUUGUAUAAGGAUAUUAAAGUUUAAAACAAAUCUUCUAUUAUAGAAGACAAGGAAUGAGAGGUUCAAGAUAGAAAAGUUUUUGCCUAUAUUAAAAGAUGAAUUGAUAUAAAUUUAUAUGAGCAUAUUUCUGAUGAAACCAAAGCUGAUGUUAUUUAGCAAUAUUAGAAAAUCUCUUUGCAAAAAAGAUAGUAGGAAACAUAAUUCUCUCAUCAAAAGACUUAUUAAUUUGAAGAAUAAAGAUGGUUGUAAUGAGCACAUAAGCCUAUUUCAGAGUCUUGCAAAUAAGUUGGUUGCUAUAAAAAUGAAUAUAAAUGAGAUGUAAAUAUUUUUAGUUCUUAGCUCUUUACUGAAAAAUUGAGAAAUAUAUUUGGCGAUAAUUUGUAACUCCAUAUGAGAGGGGACUCUAACUAUAGAUAUGGUUAAAGACAAUUUGCUAAAUGAAAAUGCUAGAAGGAAAGAGCAGGGAGAAUCUUCUUUUGGUGCACUUGUUAUUGAAAAAUAAGAAAAACGUGGAAGAAGUCAUAGUAGAAAUCCACACGGUUAUAGAGGAAGAUCCAAGUUUAAAAAAGAUAUUAAGUAUUUCCACUACAACAUACUAGGUUACAUGAAGAAAGAGCAUAGGUUUUGGAAGCAAGAACAAAAUGAAAGAAAGAAAAAUAAGAAAAAGACUAAUAUAGUUGCUAUUCAAAGUGAUAUCAUUAUUAUUUAUAAUGACAGAUGUGCUAGUCUUGUAGUUAAGGACAGUAAUUGGGUAAUUGACUCUGGUACUUUAUUUCAUGUUAUUUCUCAUAGUGAUUUUUUCAUAUAUUGCUUGUGAUUUUGGCAAUGUAAGAAUAGAAAAUAGUGGUACAUCUAAGAUUGUGGGUAUUGGAGAUAUUUGCUUACAGACCAGUAUUUGGAGCAAAUUGAUACUAAAAAAUAUCGAACAUAGUUCGAAUAUUCGUCUUAACUUGAUACCUAUAUGCAGACUUGAUGAUGAGAGAUUUUUACAUUAUUUUGGUGAAGGUAAAUGGAGGCUCACUAAAGGUUAUCUAAUUAUUGCGAGAUGAAAGAAGCUAAACUCUUUUUAUGUCAUGGAAGUUAAGUUAUACAAAGUAGAGAUAAAUGUAAUUCAAAAUGGUGAAAGCAUAGAUCUUUAGUAUAAGAGGAUUGGUCAUAUCAGUGAGAAGGGACUUCAAACUCUUACUAGAAAGCGGUUCUUAACGGAGUUGUAACGUACUUCUCUUAAAUCUUGUGAUCAUUGUUUUAGUAGAAAAACACAUAGAGUUGCCUUUCAUACUUAUCCACUAUCUAAAAGAUAAAAUAUUAUUGAUUUGAUUCACAUUGAUAUCUAUACUAUGCAAACUAGAAUUCUUGAUUGUGCUUUUUAUUUUGUUACUUUUAUUGAUGAUCAUUCUAGAAAAGUUUGAGCUUUUGUUUUAAAAUCUAAAUACUAGGUACUUAAUAUUUUCAAAGAGUUUCAUGUUAGUAUUGAAAGAGAAAUUGGUAGAAAGUUAAAAUAUGUUCGAGCAGAUAAUAGUGGUGAGUAUAGGGGUCAUUUUGAGAAUUAUUGUAGUUUCUAUGAUAUCAGGCUUGAGAAAAUGAUUUCUAAAACUCCUUAGCAAAAUGGUGUGGCAAAAAGAAUGAACAGAACAAUUGAAGAAAAGAUUAGGUAUAUACUUUCCCAUGUCAAGUUACCUAAGUCAUUUUGAGGGGAGGCUAUAAGAACUACAAUUGACUUGAUAAAUCUUUUUCCAUCAGUUCCUCUGAAAGAUGAUGUUCUAGAGAGAGUAUAAAAAUGAAAAGAUAUAUCUUAUGAUCAUUUGAGAGUCUUUGGGUAUAAAGUAUUUAUUUAUAUUCUCAAAGAUGAAAUGUCCAAGCUUGAUAAUAAAAUAAAAGCAUGUACUUUCUUGAAAUAUUGUUAUGAAGAGUUUGGAUAUAAUUUGGAUAUGAGAUUUAGUAAAUAAGAAGUUUAUUAGAAGCAGAGAUGUUGUAUUUCUUGAAGACCAAUUGAUUAUGGUGAUAAUAUUGAGAAGACAAAAAUCUUUGUUUAUAUUCCUUGGAGUUUAGGUCCAAUCUCUCAACCUGUAGUUCAUGAUGAUCAUGGGGGAGAUAAAUAAGAAGAUUGUGGUGAGAAUAUCACUCCUACAAUUGAUGAUAUCGAAUCAACUAAACAAGCACCUCCACCAUCAGUUGAAAUUUCAUUAAGAAGAUUCACAAGAGAGUGACGACCAUCUAAUGGAUAUUAUCCACAUGAGUAUAUUAUGCUUACUGAUGGGAGAGAGUCAGAAACUUAUCAAAAAGUUAUUUUACAUGAAUAUAAGAAUGAGUAGACUAAAACUAUGCAAAAAGAAAUAAGAUCUUUACUUGAGAACCACAUCUAUGACUUAGUAAAGUUGCCUAAAGGGAAGAAAACUCUCAAGAAUAAAUGUGUUUACAAAUUGAAGACUGAAAAUAAUAGCUCACAACAAAGAUAUAAGGCAUGACUAGUUAUGAAAUGAUUCAAUCAUUUCUACUUUGAAGAAAUAUUUUUUCCUAUGUUGAAAAUAUCCUCUAUCCGAGUUAUUUUUGGUUUGGUUGCCCGCUUGAAUUUAGAAUUUGAGCAACUUGAUGUGAAAAUUAUAUUUCUUCAUAGUGACUUAGAAGAAAAAAUUUACACAGAACAACUAGAAUGUUUCAAAGUCAAAGGAAAAGAAAAUCUAAUAUGUAAUCUUACGAAAAGCUUAUAUGGAUUUAAACAAGCACCCAAACAAUGGUACAAGAAGUUUGAUUCAUUUAUGAUGAGCCAAGGGUACAAUAGAACCAUAUCUAAUCAUUGUGUAUUUACAAAGAAGUUUUCAGAUGAUGAUUUCAUUAUUCACCUACUAUAUAUUAAUGAUAUGUUGAUUAUUAGCCAUGAUGCUUGUAAAAUUGAUAAACUUAAAAGAGAGUUAAAUAAGUCUUUUGCCAUGAAAGACUUAAGAUCGAUAAAACAAAUACUUGACAUAAAGAUUCUUCGUGAUAGGAAUAAAUAAAAGAUUUGACUAUCUUAGGAGACCUACAAUGAAAAGGUUCUUGAAAGAUUCAACAUGAGUAAAGCUAAAGCAGUUUAUCCUCCACUUGUAGGUUAUUUCAAGCUUAGUUUGGAAUAAUAUCCUACAAGUAAGAAAGAAAAAUAAAUGUCUAGAAUGCCUUACUCAUCUAUAAUAGGUAGUUUGAUAUAUAUUAUGGUUUCUACUAGGUUAGAUAUAGCUCAUACAAUUGGAGUUAUCAACUGAUUUCUCUCUAAUCCUAAUAAGGAACAUUGAGCAGUAAUGAAAUGAAUAUUAAGAUAUUUGAUAGGUACUUCUAGGUUGUGUGUAUGUUUUAGUAGUGAUGAACCAGUGCUAAAGGGGUAUAUAGAUGCAGACAUGACAUAUGAUACUGAUUCCAAGAAAUUCAUUUCGAGGUUCUUGAUAACGUUUGCAGGGGGAGCAAUCUCUUGGUAGUCAAGUUAUAAAAUUAUGUUGCUCUAUCAACCACAGAAGCAUAAUAUAUAUCAAUUAUUGAAGCAUGCAGGGAAGCUUUAUGGAUAAAAAAGUUUCUACAUAAAUUAGACUUGAAACAAAAAGGAUAUAUUGUUUAUUGUGAUAAUCAAAGUGUCAUUUACCUCUCUAAGAAUUCAACAUACUAUUCUAGAUCCAAGCAUAUUGAUGUAAAAUAUUACUAGAUUCGUGAUGUGAUUGAGAUUAAAGAAUUACACUUAGAAAAUAUGUAUACUUAUGAGAAUGGAUCAGACAUGUUGAUAAAGUCUUUUCCAAGGAGAAGCUUGAAGCAUAUAGGCGUAAAGCGAGCUUAGUACAAUCUACCAUAUGAGUUGGAGAGGAAGAAUUAUUGGGUCCAGCCCAUAGGUGGGCUUGAAUCAAUUGAUUUGAGCAUUGAGCCCAAAUAUAAUAUAUUAAAAAAAUAAUAAUAAAAUGAAAGUGGCGUGUGUGUGCAUGUAGUGAACAAAGAGAAAGAGAACAAAGAGAGCAAAAGGAGAGAGAUAAAGUUAAGAUUUUGAGGUUUUAGCUAGAUAAUCAAGCGGUUAAAUUUUAUUGGUUUUGACUCAAAUUUUAUAUGAAAAAUCCUUACAACAAGUACUGAUAUACAAUUUAUUCUCUCUAAGAUACUUUUCUAUUAUACCCAUUUGAUGAGAUCUAAAAAUUUUUCUUUUAUAAAAUCCAUAUAUGGUUAUGAUGAUAUGUUAUUGUUGAGUCAAGAUAUAUAUUUUUAAAAUUAUUAUGAUACUCUGAUUAUUCUGAAGAAAAUUUAUUAUAAAUUUAUUAUUAUUAUCGAUAAUAGUAGAAGUUUAAAGUGGAUUACGUUCCGUGAUUUUUCUCGUAUUGAGUUUUUUACGUAAAAAAUUUGGUAUCUUACGUUAUGAUUGAUUCAUUGUUUUACUAUUUAUACUGUUCUGAUUAAUAUUUAUUUUUAAUAAUAAAUUAAUAUUUUGAUAAGAAACCUAUUUUAAUAUAUAAAUAAAAAAAAAUUAUUCGACUAUAAUAAUUUUUCCUAACACUCGUUUGUGAGUGGACGAAGGAUAACAUCCAAGCAAACUGAGUUGCACCCGGUCACAUCGUAACGCCACUCACUGAGCCGGUAAUGGACACUCAACUUAGCGACGUUUAGUUUCCGUGCGUAUCACGGUACCAAGUAGCAUAUAUACGCGUAUCACGGUCACAUCGUAACCCUCUUGGACGUCUGGGUGAGGCCGAGACUUAGCACCGGUGGUCGCUUUCCUCUGUCUUCCUCUACGUCAAUGGCCAAGUUGUGGUUGUCGAUGGAGGUCGAACCGUGAACGGCACCGCAUAAGCUUCCGAUCGGUCGAUAUCGAUCACCGUGGCGAGUUAUAUGAUAGACUGUGUGUGCUGCGAUGUCUUUCUAAUACUUGGUCUGAAUAUUCGCAACGUUGUGUAAAAUAAUUAAGAUGCUCGCGUACACAAUGAUGCGUGCACAAGCAGACAAUGGUGAACGUACCCACCCAUUUAGAACACUCAAUGUGGUAUCAGAUUGUGGGAAGGGUGUUCCGUGUGAUUCCUAUGAUUGAUAAGCCAUCCAUCGUACUUUCGAAACCAAUUAAAUAACGAAGAGGAAGAGUGGAUAGAUUUACAAGACUAUUAUUCAUUUCCACUCAUAAAUAUGACUAUAAGAGCUAAUUAUAAAAUAUUUCUGUAAUAAAUUACUUUUAAUAUAUUAUUUUUUAUAUUUUUAAAAAUUACAUUGAUAAAUCGAAACGAGACCAUGGUAAAUUUUAUGAUAUUUUGACAACGUGAAUAGAAACGAGAUUAAAUAUUUUUUUUUAUAAAUAUUGCAAGUAUAAAGAUGUAAAUGUUAAAUGUAGUUAACUAUAGAAAAUAAUUUUUUAUGUUGUGGAAUAUAAAUAUUUGAGAGAAUAUUUUUUUAUUUAGAUAUCAGAACACUUCGGGGUGAAUAUUUUAUGGAGCCACGAGCCAAAGAGAAGAGACCAAAAAAAAAAUCACAUUCGAGAUGAUAGAGGAUUGAAGGCUAAGUACAGUUGGCACAAUCCUUCGUCCAUCUCAUACCAACGAAGUUUCCGAGUAAGUCAUAUUUAUCUACAGAAAUUAUAAUAUAAUUAGGAAAAUGUGUGUGGACACGACUUCUAUUGAUCCAAUGUGCAUACAGUUUCCACAUCUUAGCUAUAAAUGGACUGAAGUAGGAAGAAACAAAGAAGAAGAAGAAGAAGGAAAACAAUGGAGGGUGGCGACCAGAAGUGCGACGAUAACCAAGCGGUGGGGAGAUGGACUCUUGUAGGAACAACAGCUUUGGUCACCGGAGGCACUAAAGGAAUCGGGUAUCGUCAUCUUUCUUCAUACAUUUGCUCAUCCACCUCACAGCACAAACAAGUUCAUACUGAAAUCUGGAGUCUAAUGCCUGCCGAAAUUAAGGAGCUUAUGUCCAUCUUAUUAUGAGGUUUUCUCUUCCGUUCUUUUAUGGUGAUCAGACAUGCCAUAGUAGAAGAACUAGCGAGAUUUGGUG
RNAcentral lists this long non-coding RNA (10156 nucleotides) under Musa acuminata (dwarf banana). RNAcentral's name for it is "long non-coding RNA (MACU_LNC004990)". Lineage: Eukaryota; Viridiplantae; Streptophyta; Magnoliopsida; Zingiberales; Musaceae. The record is from RNAcentral.